AUGGACUGCUGCAUCUGCGGCCCCAUGGCCGCCAUCUACAGGCCUCCGAGGAACACCAUAUGCUCCCCGUGCUACGAAGGCUCCAAGGCCAUCAUCGCCUUCCUCAAUGACGGCGACCACGCUGCCGGUGACGGCCAGGGCGACCGUGGCUUGGUGACCCCCCGCGGAUUGAUCAAGCACAGCGACAGCUCCACCAAGCAGGGGAUGAGAGAAGCAUGGGAGCAGAUGAAGGAGAUGAGAGACAGGGAGGAGGCGGCGAACCAGCGGGCCGGGUUCCUCGAGCAGGGCUUCGGGGCGGCCUGGAUGGAGGGAGCCCACACCGACAUCCUCGUCAAACCUGGAAAUGGGCCGCCAAUCCCGGCCCACAAGGCCAUACUGGCGGCGAGGUCGGAGGUGUUCCACCACAUGCUGUGCUCCGACGAGUGCAAGGCGGCCCCCGCCGGCGGGUGCGUCUCCCUCCCGGAGCUCGCCCACGACGAGCUCUCCCUCUUCCUGGCCUUCCUGUACACUGGGACCCUCGACGCUGCUGCGUCGGCCACGGCGACAUCGGCGUCGGAGCGACGGCUGCACGCGCUCCUGGUUGCGGCGGACAAGUACGACGUGCCGUUCCUGGGGCGGGCGUGUGAGGCGCGGCUGGCAGCGGCGAUGGAUCCUGCGAAUGCGCUGCGGACGCUGGAGGUGGCUGACCGUGUCAGCUCGGGCGGCGCGCUGAAGGAGCGUGCCAUGGGCACGGUGGUGGAGCACGCGGAGCAGGUGGUGUUCUCCGAAGAGUACCACGACUUCGCCGUCAGGAACGCCGGCUUGUGCGUCGAGAUCACCAGGGCGCUGCUCGCCAAGGCCGCCGGCGCCAAGAAGGCGUGA
This 861-nucleotide ribosomal RNA is filed under the name Triticum aestivum (bread wheat). RNAcentral describes it as "partial small subunit ribosomal RNA". The record is from RNAcentral. Lineage: Eukaryota; Viridiplantae; Streptophyta; Magnoliopsida; Poales; Poaceae.